RNAcentral lists this ribosomal RNA (497 nucleotides) under uncultured bacterium. RNAcentral's name for it is "partial 16S ribosomal RNA". It matches the Rfam family "Bacterial small subunit ribosomal RNA", at positions 28 to 507 of the family's 1533-position model. The record is from RNAcentral.
GAUGAACGCUGGCGGCGUGCCUAAUACAUGCAAGUCGAGCGAACGGACGAGAAGCUUGCUUCUCUGAUGUUAGCGGCGGAAGGGUGAGUAACACGUGGAUAACCUACCUAUAAGACUGGGAUAACUUCGGGAAACCGGAGCUAAUACCGGAUAAUAUUUUGAACCGCAUGGUUCAAAAGUGAAAGACGGUCUUGCUGUCACUUAUAGAUGGAUCCGCGCUGCAUUAGCUAGUUGGUAAGGUAACGGCUUACCAAGGCAACGAUGCAUAGCCGACCUGAGAGGGUGAUCGGCCACACUGGAACUGAGCCACGGUCCAGACUCCUACGGGAGGCAGCAGUAGGGAAUCUUCCGCAAUGGGCGAAAGCCUGACGGAGCAACGCCGCGUGAGUGAUGAAGGUCUUCGGAUCGUAAAACUCUGUUAUUAGGGAAGAACAUAUGUGUAAGUAACUGUGCACAUCUUGACGGUACCUAAUCAGAAAGCCACGGCUAACUACGUG